RNAcentral lists this small nucleolar RNA (118 nucleotides) under Pteropus vampyrus (large flying fox). RNAcentral's name for it is "Small nucleolar RNA SNORA25 (ENSPVAG00000027989.1)". The record is from RNAcentral. Lineage: Eukaryota; Metazoa; Chordata; Mammalia; Chiroptera; Pteropodidae.
GGUUCACUUAUAGGACCAAAACCAGGAGGAGCUCUUAACACUGUGACCAAAGAUUGAAGUUUUCUAUAAGAUGUAAUAGUCACUCAAUAGUGCUGUGUGUUCUUGAGCAGAUAUAAGA